Molecule: ribosomal RNA, 495 nt
Filed under: uncultured bacterium
Lineage: Bacteria
Description: partial 16S ribosomal RNA
Rfam family: Bacterial small subunit ribosomal RNA
Source: RNAcentral
GACGAACGCUGGCGGCGUGCCUAAUACAUGCAAGUAGAACGCUGAAGGAGGAGCUUGCUUCUCUGGAUGAGUUGCGAACGGGUGAGUAACGCGUAGGUAACCUGCCUGGUAGCGGGGGAUAACUAUUGGAAACGAUAGCUAAUACCGCAUAAGAGUAGAUGUUGCAUGACAUUUACUUAAAAGGUGCAAUUGCAUCACUACCAGAUGGACCUGCGUUGUAUUAGCUAGUUGGUGAGGUAACGGCUCACCAAGGCAACGAUACAUAGCCGACCUGAGAGGGUGAUCGGCCACACUGGGACGGAGACACGGCCCAGACUCCUACGGGAGGCAGCAGUAGGGAAUCUUCGGCAAUGGACGGAAGUCUGACCGAGCAACGCCGCGUGAGUGAAGAAGGUUUUCGGAUCGUAAAGCUCUGUUGUAAGAGAAGAACGAGUGUGAGAGUGGAAAGUUCACACUGUGACGGUAUCUUACCAGAAAGGGACGGCUAACUACGUG